AUUGUUUAAUGGAAUAUAAAAGAAAGGGAAAGUGGAUAACCAUCAUCUAUAAGAAGUAGAAGGAACCGAAGCAGCCUGCUUCAAAUAAUGUGCUUAUGACCAUGGGAUCUUUUCAUCUGAUAUGCUGCUGAGACCUUCCAAAUACAUCGCCCCCACCAUUAUUAGAAUGUGAGCUCCUUGGGAACAAAGACUGUCUUUCUUAUUUAUAGACCUAAGACUUAACACAGAAAUGCUCUUAAUAAAUGUUUCAUUCACUCA
Long non-coding RNA from Antechinus flavipes (yellow-footed antechinus), 258 nucleotides. RefSeq lists it as uncharacterized. The transcript has 2 exons. Lineage: Eukaryota; Metazoa; Chordata; Mammalia; Dasyuromorphia; Dasyuridae. The record is from RefSeq and is a predicted model, not a curated record.